RNAcentral lists this ribosomal RNA (1103 nucleotides) under uncultured Lemonniera. Its description in RNAcentral is "eukaryotic LSU rRNA". The stretch from base 476 to 1103 matches the Rfam family "Eukaryotic large subunit ribosomal RNA", at positions 1 to 649 of the family's 3401-position model. Lineage: Eukaryota; Fungi; Ascomycota. The record is from RNAcentral.
AAGGAUCAUUACAGAGUUCAUGCCCUCACGGGUAGAUCUCCCACCCUUGAAUAUUAUACCUUAGUUGCUUUGGCAGGCCGGGGCAACCCCCGGGGCUUCGGCCUUGGUGUGCCUGCCAGAGGAAACAAACUCUGUUUUUAGUGAUGUCUGAGUACUAUAUAAUAGUUAAAACUUUCAACAACGGAUCUCUUGGUUCUGGCAUCGAUGAAGAACGCAGCGAAAUGCGAUAAGUAAUGUGAAUUGCAGAAUUCAGUGAAUCAUCGAAUCUUUGAACGCACAUUGCGCCCCGUGGUAUUCCGCGGGGCAUGCCUGUUCGAGCGUCAUUUCAACCCAUCAAGCUUCGGCUUGGUCUUGGGGCCUGCGAUUCCGCAGCCUCUAAACCCAGUGGCGGUGCCUCCGAGCUCUGAGCGUAGUAAUUCUUCUCGCUAUAGGGUCUCGGUGGUGACUUGCCGGCAACCCCCAAUUUUUUACAGGUUGACCUCGGAUCAGGUAGGGAUACCCGCUGAACUUAAGCAUAUCAAUAAGCGGAGGAAAAGAAACCAACAGGGAUUACCUCAGUAACGGCGAGUGAAGCGGUAACAGCUCAAAUUUGAAAUCUGCCGCAAGGCCGAGUUGUAAUUUGUAGAAGAUGCUUUGGGUAUGGCCCCGGUCUAAGUUCGUUGGAACACGACGUCAUAGAGGGUGAGAAUCCCGUAUGUGACUGGGUGCUUUUGCCUAUGUAAAGCUCUUUCGACGAGUCGAGUUGUUUGGGAAUGCAGCUCAAAAUGGGUGGUAUAUUUCAUCUAAAGCUAAUAUUGGCCAGAGACCGAUAGCGCACAAGUAGAGUGAUCGAAAGAUGAAAAGCACUUUGGAAAGAGAGUUAAACAGUACGUGAAAUUGUUGAAAGGGAAGCGCUUGCAACCAGACUUGCACGCUGUUGAUCAUCCAGGCUUCUGUCUGGUGCACUCGGCAGCGUUCAGGCCAGCAUCGGUUCUGGUGGUGGGAUAAAGGCCUUGGGAAUGUAGCUUCUUUCGGGGAGUGUUAUAGCCCUCGGUGCAAUGCCGCCUAUCGGGACCGAGGACCGCGCUUCGGCUAGGAUGCUGGCGUAAUGGUUGUAAGCGACC